Molecule: ribosomal RNA, 536 nt
Filed under: Roptoperus sp. ARC4860
Lineage: Eukaryota; Metazoa; Arthropoda; Insecta; Coleoptera; Curculionidae
Description: partial 16S large subunit ribosomal RNA
Rfam family: Bacterial large subunit ribosomal RNA
Source: RNAcentral
GGCUUAUUGAAAAUAAUUUUAAGUCUAGCCUGCCCAAUGAGUAUUAUUUUAAAUGGCCGCGGUAUAUUGACCGUGCAAAGGUAGCAUAAUCAUUAGUUUUUUAAAUGAAAGCUGGAAUGAAAGGUUUGAUGAAAAAAUAAUUGUCUCUGUUUAAUUUUUUUUUGAAAUUUAUUUUUAAGUGAAAAAGCUUAAAUUUUUAUAAAAGACGAGAAGACCCUAUAGAGUUUUAUAUUUACAUAAAUAAAUAUUAUUUGGAAUUUUAAAUUUUAUUUAUAUAUUUAUUUAAUUGGGGUGAUUGAAAAAUUUAAUAAACUUUUUUAAAAAAAUCAUUAAUUUAUGAGUAUAUGAUCCUUUAUUGAAGAUUAAAAGAAAAAAUUACCUUAGGGAUAACAGCGUAAUUUUUUUAAAAGUUCUUAUUAAAAAAAAAGAUUGCGACCUCGAUGUUGGAUUAAAAUUAAUUUUUGGUGAAGAAGCUAAAAAAUUAGGUCUGUUCGACCUUUAAAAUUUUACAUGAUCUGAGUUUAAACCGGUGUGAG